GGCCGGUUAGCUCAGUCAGUUGAGCGUGGAGCUAACAACGCUAAGGUCACGGGUUCGAUUCCCGUUCGGUCC
RNAcentral lists this transfer RNA (72 nucleotides) under Apaloderma vittatum (bar-tailed trogon). It matches the Rfam family "tRNA". From Rfam's summary of the family: Transfer RNA (tRNA) molecules are approximately 80 nucleotides in length. Their secondary structure includes four short double-helical elements and three loops (D, anti-codon, and T loops). Further hydrogen bonds mediate the characteristic L-shaped molecular structure. tRNAs have two regions of fundamental functional importance: the anti-codon, which is responsible for specific mRNA codon recognition, and the 3' end, to which the tRNAs corresponding amino acid is attached (by aminoacyl-tRNA synthetases). tRNAs cope with the degeneracy of the genetic code in two manners: having more than one tRNA (with a specific anti-codon) for a particular amino acid; and 'wobble' base-pairing, i.e. permitting non-standard base-pairing at the 3rd anti-codon position. The record is from Rfam by way of RNAcentral. Lineage: Eukaryota; Metazoa; Chordata; Aves; Trogoniformes; Trogonidae.